AAAUAGAUGUAUAUAAUAUUUGUAAAACAUCUCCAUUUUAAAGUUUCACCGUGUUUGGUAAUUAUUAUUUUUUUUUUAAUUAAUUCAAUUUCGUUGGCCAUUACGUUUUCUAUCUUUCGUUUGACUUAUCUGUACAUGCUGAAUUGAACUACUUUCGCAACGGCAUUUUAUUUUGAUAAAGUUUGAUGUAAAUUGCAUGCAUGGGCGCG
This 209-nucleotide long non-coding RNA is filed under the name Mytilus galloprovincialis (Mediterranean mussel). The record is from RNAcentral. Lineage: Eukaryota; Metazoa; Mollusca; Bivalvia; Mytilida; Mytilidae.